RNAcentral lists this transfer RNA (75 nucleotides) under Pseudofrankia sp. EUN1h. RNAcentral describes it as "Frankia sp. EUN1h tRNA-Met". The record is from RNAcentral. Lineage: Bacteria; Bacillati; Actinomycetota; Actinomycetes; Frankiales; Frankiaceae.
GCAGUAGCCCAGCCGGUCAGGGCAGAAGACUCAUAAUCCUCCGGUCGUGGGGUCGGCUUUCGCGCUCCAGCACCA